This 654-nucleotide small RNA is filed under the name Pongo abelii (Sumatran orangutan). RNAcentral's name for it is "processed transcript". The record is from RNAcentral. Lineage: Eukaryota; Metazoa; Chordata; Mammalia; Primates; Hominidae.
GCUACCAUGGUCUCCGGCAGCAGCGGCCUCGCCGCCGCCCGUCUCCUGUCGCGCAGCUUCCUCCGCGGUUUGUGGACACAUCAGUUCCCGAAAACUUAGCACCCAAGGUUGCUAGUCUUUGAGACACGCUGACUAUAGAAAAUUCUUGCCAUAUUCAAAGUCUCUGUGCUUGUCAGUGCCGCAGAAUGGAAUUCGGCAUUGUUCCUAUACAGCUUCUCGGAAACAUCUCUAUGUUGAUAAAAUACAAAGAUUAUUUGCCAGGGUUUCACUGGCAAACAGGGCACCUUUCACAGCCAGCAGGCAUUGGAAUAUGGCACCAAACUCGUUGGAGGAACCACUCCAGGGAAAGGAGGCCAGACACAUCUGGGCUUACCUGUCUUUAAUACUGUGAAGGAGGCCAAAGAACAGACAGGAGCAACGGCUUCUGUCAUUUAUGUUCCUCCGCCUUUUGCUGCUGCUGCCAUUAAUGAAGCUAUUGAGGCAGAAAUUCCCUUGGUUGUGUGUAUCACUGAAGGAAUUCCCCAGCAGGACAUGGUACGAGUCAAGCACAAACUGCUGCGCCAGGGAAAGACAAGGCUAAUUGGGCCCAACUGCCCUGGAGUCAUCAAUCCUGGAGAAUGUAAAAUUGGCAUCAUGCCUGGCCAUAUUCACAAA